CGCAGCCCGGGUCCUGGCGCCAGCUGCGCGCGCUGAGUGGAAGCCCUUGAAGACCACGGCUCACCUGGAGCUGAGGACCGAACCCAGCGCCUUGCGCUUGGUAGGCAAGCGCUCGACCACUGAGCUAAAUCCCCAACCCAACAAAUGCAUUUUUAUAAGAUUUCCAGAAACCUUAAAAUUACAUAGAUGGAGGUCCGUGAGAUGGCUCGGUGGGUACAGUGCUGGGUUCAGAGCCUAGAACCCACAUAAGAUAGAAGGAGAGAGCCUGCUACACAGAAUUGUCCUUCACCAUUCAUAGCCCCCCCCCACACCAUGUACAUACAAUAAAAAUAAGUUUUAAAUUAUAUAUACGACUCACAUCAUACUCCUAUGUAUAGCAUUGUUCAAGUUCAAACCAGACUGAGAAUACAUAUAUACAUACAGGUGGUAGAGAAGACACAGAGAGACAUGGACUCCACUGAAGAGGCUGCUGAAAGAAUCCAGGUGAGAGCAGAUGGAGUCUAGGACCAGGACAGGGUUUGGAGAGGUUGCCAGAAGCGGAUAGAGUACAGGUAUAUUUUGACUAUGUGCCAACAGGAUUUUCGUAAAACUGUAGGGUGUGAGCAAAGGCUCAUCCCAAGUUUCCCAGCCCAAGAAGCUGAAAGGAUGGUAUUGUCGUUCACUGAGAUGGCGAAGACUCAAAGUGGAAGCUUGUAUGAAGAUGAGGAUUUUGUGUGAGCCUGUUAUUCUGAAGAUGUCUGUCAAGAACCCACAUGGGGAAGAUGAACAGUUUGGGAUAUGUGUUUUUUCUUCUGGUACCUUCUUGUGAUAGCUAAUCUUGGUUGUCAACUUGACUACAUCUGGAAUUAAUCAAAACCCAAACAGCUGAGCACACCUGGGAGGAUUUUUCUUGGAUUAUUUGAGAUGGAAGACCCACCCUAAAUCUGGUCCACGUCUUCUGGUGGCAACCCACAUUGAAGGCUGGAAGGAGGCAUCUUUCAUGUUUGCCUGCUUGCUCGCUCUGGUAAGUUCAUCUGUCCUGUUCCUGAGCCCUCUUCCUUCACUGGUGUCUGACCUACUUCUUCAGGAUUCCAUCACAGAACGGGCAGCUCUCUAGGACCUUCCUGGAACUCCAGCACCAGAGUGGGACGGCUGAGGCAUUCAGUCUUGUGAACCAAACCACCACCAGAUCCUUGGCCUUUCCAGCAGGGGACAGUCAUUGUUGGACUACUUAGACCACAGCCUGUAAACCAUUCUAACUAAUCCCUUUACACACACACACACACACACACACACACACACACACACACACACACACACACACGGCAGGAGUGUUUUGAAACAUCAAAGCCUUCCCCCUAUAUUCCCUGGACAUAUUUCUCCAGGAACAAGGCCACAACUUGUACUAAUCUUCCCCAAAUAGCCACCAACUGGGGAUUCAUAUACAUGAGACUUAUAGGGGGCAAUCUCAUUUAAACCAACACAUUGUUCUUUAAAGGACCUGAGUUCAGUUUCCAGCGCCCAUGUCUGACAGCUCACAACAACCUGUAAGUCAGGUUCCAGGGGAUGGAGGAUCCUCUUCUGAACUCCAUUCAUGAAUGUAAACACUUGAGUGUGCACGCGAGAGCGCACGUGCGCGCGCGCGCACACACACACACACACACACACACACUUUAAGACCUUCUGUAAGAGGGCCUGAUCCCCUUUGGGAGAGAGGAGCUCUCUUGGCUCUUUAAUUGCCUUUGAAAGCGCCAUCACUGAAAAUAACCACACUGGGAGGUUGGGAGGAGACAAAUGCAAAUCCCAGCAAAUAAUGACAAUGGAAUAGCAGCUUUGGGUGUGAGACUGGCUUUGCUUUGACUUUGGCAUUUAGGGUUUUGGCACUAUCCAGCCUUCAUGAAGCUGGUGUAGGAUGGUUAUACAAAGACAGACAAGAUACAAGGACUGUGGCAUUGGAGAUGCCAUGGGUUGGGCUGCAGUAUUAAUGGUCAGCAGCAGCAGAGCAAAGGUAGCAUCUGAGCAAGGACUUGUAACGGGAGUGACCAGGUGGACAACUGCAGGAACAGUAUCUGUCAGAGAAAUUGCACAGUGCAGAGGUCCUGAGGCCUGAGUAGGCCUGGUGAAUGGAGGAGCAAGAAAGGAAGGUCACUGUGGCCAGAAGAGGAAUCGGGAGGGAGCAACCGACUGGGCUAGAGAGGCAGUGGAGACAGAUGGAACAGCUAUUGUCAGCGUUUGCUGUGCCCUUCAGCUUAUUAGGAUGCACCUCAUUGCAGCCUGGAAUUGUCGCCUCCUUCAGAUGAGUUAGGCUCAGGCUCUUCUUAGGUUCGAGAACAAGAUCAGGCAGAUUCAAAAGUUAACUUUCCACAGCUACUAAAUGCAAUACGAAGGACUCAAAGCCGAGUCCAGGAUUCCAGUGUGGUGUCCGUCCUCUGUGUCAUUCUCCACUCUUAAAUGCUGAAGGAGAGUCAAAUGAAAGCCCCGGCCCACCCUUGAACCAACGCCACGAGAGGAGAGCCAUGUGGAGGGGACAGACUCCCCCAAGGCUGAAGAGCCCCCAGAGCUGGGUGUCUUUUCUUGGGGUCCACCUUGCAGAGUCUGUGGUGUACAAGACAGGCAGGAUUCCCUACCCCCAGUGUGUUCCAAGAGGUAAAAACUAAUUGAGAAUCAGGAGUGAUAUGAAAGGAAACAAGGCUUUGAGGCCAGAGGAAGCAUGAAGCUACAUGAAGAAGGGUGGGCACAGUCUGCCCUUGACCCUGAGAGCACCAGUUGUAUAGACAGGUAAGUUUACUUUUGCUGAGGAGUGCAGUUUUGUCUAUUGGGCUGCCUGGCUGACGAAGAGAAAGGUUCAGAGAACAGUUGGCCUCGGACUCUGGGGUGGCGGUGUCUUUGUUCUUGAGGCAUGACUCACAGCCUGCUGGAGAGUACAGCUUGUCUGUUCACCGUUCACCGGAAGAAGCGUGUCUACGACAAAGUAUUCAAGGAAGCCUUUAAAGCUGCUGCUGCUAGGAUGCAACUGGACCUUGCUGCUGUGGCUGUCCUUUUGUGCUUUUAUAAUGUUUUAUAUACCACUUUAGCUUUUACAGUGGUGUAGAAGACAUACCAUUGUCCUGAACACAGAGGAGACCUGGGGACACUGAUAGCAAAAUCAAAUCAAAUCACAGGGUACAGACCAAAAUAGGGCAGCCUCAUCAUAAGCUUUUUGUGUUUUGUUUUUGUUUUUUGAGACAGGGUUUCUCUGCAUAGUUUUGGUGCCUGUCCUGGAUCUCGCUCUGUAGACCAGGGUAGCCUCGAACUCACAGAGAUCCACCUGGCUCUACCUCCCAAGUGCUAGGAUUAAGGUGUGCGCUACCUCCGUCUGGUGUAUAAGCUUUUGAGAAGAUGAGAAGAGGCUCCAGGGAGACCCCUCAGGAUGUGAUAGGAUCCAGCCUCUAAGUAUAUUAGCUACAUGGAUUUGAUGGCGGGGCUGCGUCGUCUUCUCGUAUAGCGUGCCUGGAUGUUGAAGUCGAUCAUCCAGGAACAGUGCUUCCUGGUGUCUUUGGAGACUGAGGAAUUGCUUCCCUCCAUAGUCUCACUGCAUCUGUGUAGGAAGAUCAUUACUCUCCUGCUUCUGUAUCCACUUGCAGGAACGCACGUGACUUACUUUUCCCAAGGGGGCAACAAGAUACCCGACUAAAGCAGUUUAAGCAGAGACUCUAUUUAGAGGUAGAGUUGAAGGGUCGAGUUCAUCAUGUUGGGAUGGCAUGGUGGCAGAAGCAUCUAUCCAGUCAGGAAGCAGAGAGAGGUGAAGGACGCUGUUUAGCUCCCUUUCUCCCGUUCUUCAGUCUAGGUCCCCAGCUCAUGGAAUGGGGCUGCCUACCUUCAGGGUGGGUCUUUCCACCUCAACUAACGCAACCUAGAAACCCUCCCCAGACAUGCUCAAUGGGGAUUCUAAAUCUCAUCAAGGUGACAAGAUCAAUCAUCACAGCACAAGUGAGCCAUCUACAAAUGCUCCGAGGUCCAGGCACAGUGCUUGCCUAGGUUUUAUAUCAUAAUAUCAGUUUCUAAUCCACAGAGCCAACUGGCAAUUAUAGUGUUAGUAAUAUGUAGAACACAGGCUUAGGAGACCCAAGCUCAACACUACAUGCAGGACUGGGUUCCUUUGCUUCCAUGUGUCCAGAGUUGCCUACCUCUCUAAGAUGACAGUUGCAUUUUGCUUAGUGGGACUAGCUAGAGACUCCAAACUAUAGUCACAUUCGACUCUUUGCUCUUAAUUCCUUGGUCCUUCGCCACGAUCCACCUAAAAUUAGAGAUGGCUACUAAGUGUUACGUUCACUUCCCUCUACACAAAAGGUGAAAAGGGCAGCGUCCUUUACUCAUUCACCAGUGAAUGUUAAAACUAAACACCUAUCGUAAUACUCAAGUCAUCGUGGUAGGUUCCUAGCAUAGUCAUUGUUGAUUCAAACCACUUCUGAGUGUGUUGUCUGUCAUUCGCCGAAUCCUUGCCUUCCUCACUACCCAAGCCCUGGUUCUCCUAUGGUCGUGGUACUCCCAGUGGGCCAGUCUGUGACAAAUCAUUUAUUUAUUUUUGUAUAAGAUUUCUACAUUUAAUCUAAAAAUAAAUGUACUUGAAAUUUGUUGGGAAAUGAGAAAAUCCCUCCAAGUAAUGAAAAUAGAGUUUCAAAGAUCAGUGAGAGGGCUGGAGAGAUGACUCAGUGGGUAAGAAAGAAAGCUGAGUAAGCCCUGAGGAACAAGCCAGUAAGCAGCACCCCUCCAUGACUUCUGCAUCAGCUCCUGCCUCCAGGUUCCUGCCCUGUUUGAGUUCCUGUUCUGACUUCCUUUUGUGAUGGGCUGUGCUGUGGAAGUGUAAGUCAAAUAAACCCUUUUCUCCCCAAGUUGCUUUUGGUUAUGGUGUUUUCUCAUAGCAACAGAAACCCUAACUAAGAAAUAGGACAAAAA
Molecule: long non-coding RNA, 4914 nt
Organism: Peromyscus californicus insignis
Lineage: Eukaryota; Metazoa; Chordata; Mammalia; Rodentia; Cricetidae
Exons: 4
Source: RefSeq, a predicted model, not a curated record